Molecule: small nucleolar RNA, 136 nt
Filed under: Malurus cyaneus samueli
Lineage: Eukaryota; Metazoa; Chordata; Aves; Passeriformes; Maluridae
Source: RNAcentral
GGUCUCUUCCCACAGGAAGGGUGCAGAGAGUAACCCAUCUUGCAGCCAGUGGGAGAGACAGAGAACAAAAACCAGAGGAAAGUUGUCAUGCCUGCCUGGAGCUUGUGGCUGCCAUGUUUUCCUGCCUCUUACAUUG